UAUCAAGUAUUAUCCAAGAUUAUCUUUAUUUUUUCAUGGAAUACAUCAAUCAGACUGGGUUAAGCAGCAAAUGGAAUGCGCUGACUCACAUAACAGAAAAGUUUGGGGCUUCAGGCAUGUCUGGAUCCAGGGGCUUAACCUAUGACAUCAGGAGUAAGUCUUUUCUCUCCAUUUCUUGACUCUAUUUCCUGUUGACUUUUCAUUCUUAGGCUUCCUUUUCCCCAUGAGAUGGCAGAAUGGCUGCUUACAACUUUAAAUCAUACCGUUAACAGCAGAAAGAGUUUCUUUUCCCUGACACUGUCAACAAAAAUCCCAGGACUACAUCUUGUUGGUCUAACUCGUGUUAUUUGUGCAUCACUAAACCACUCUCUUGAGAAGGGGCGUGGAAGAUUCUGACAACUCCUCUCAACUCACUGAAGUCCAGGGAGAGGUGGCUUCCUGUCCUGUAUCAUUUCUGUUGGCCUUUCCUGACCGCCACCCUUUUCCUUCCUAAUUUGAGCCUCAACAGGCCAACCUGCAUGGUACCGCUUCCACAGUUCCCUUGUCCUCUGACUUACAGUUGAAUUCACCAAGUAGAAGAUGCUGGAAAUGAGACCAGAGGGUUGGAGGAGGAGGAAGCCUGCAAUGUGGGCAUGAAGGCUGGAGCUCUAGCAGCCAUUCUGGACUAGGAGGUAACCUUGAAGACGGAAGCCAGGUCAGAAUGGUGAAUCCAAAAGACGAAAAACCUGUAUCCCUUGUGACACCAGAGCUGCCAUACCAGCCGUGGGUUCCACCACCUAUAAUGCCUUCAUAUAAUAAAGAAGUAUUCUUGUAUCUUGUCACCUAGUCUGUUGCAGCCAAUAUAGUCCCAAGUGAUAUUCACUGUAAAUGAGUCCAUGGCUCCCUGUAGUACUUUUUCAAAGCAUCUAUCAUAAUUGUAAUGAAUAAUUAUGCAAUUCCUGGUUUACUGCCUAA
Molecule: long non-coding RNA, 954 nt
Organism: Callithrix jacchus (white-tufted-ear marmoset)
Lineage: Eukaryota; Metazoa; Chordata; Mammalia; Primates; Cebidae
Source: RefSeq, a predicted model, not a curated record